RNAcentral lists this ribosomal RNA (449 nucleotides) under uncultured bacterium. RNAcentral's name for it is "bacterial SSU rRNA". It matches the Rfam family "Bacterial small subunit ribosomal RNA", at positions 354 to 796 of the family's 1533-position model. The record is from RNAcentral.
GUCGAGAAUUUUUCACAAUGGGCGAAAGCCUGAUGGAGCGACGCCGCGUGGGGGAUGAAUGGCUUCGGCCCGUAAACCCCUGUCAUUUGCGAACAAACCUUAUUCAUUAACACUGAAUGAGCUGAUUGUAGCGGAAGAGGAAGGGACGGCUAACUCUGUGCCAGCAGCCGCGGUAAUACAGAGGUCCCGAGCGUUGUUCGGAUUCACUGGGCGUAAAGGGUGCGUAGGUGGUGAGGUAAGUCGGAUGUGAAAUCUCCGGGCUCAACCCGGAAACUGCAUUGGAAACUACCUUGCUUGAGGAUUUGAGGGGGGAUUGGAAUACUUGGUGUAGCAGUGAAAUGCGUAGAUAUCAAGUGGAACACCAGUGGCGAAGGCGAAUCCCUGGAAAAUACCUGACACUGAGGCACGAAAGCUAGGGGAGCAAACAGGAUUAGAUACCCUUGUAGUCC